GUGCUCCCUUCACACCAAUAA
This 21-nucleotide microRNA is filed under the name Zea mays. RNAcentral's name for it is "zma-miR159i-5p". Its record names the gene zma-miR159g-5p. The record is from miRBase by way of RNAcentral. Lineage: Eukaryota; Viridiplantae; Streptophyta; Magnoliopsida; Poales; Poaceae.